This 316-nucleotide ribosomal RNA is filed under the name uncultured bacterium. RNAcentral's name for it is "bacterial SSU rRNA". It matches the Rfam family "Bacterial small subunit ribosomal RNA", at positions 197 to 507 of the family's 1533-position model. The record is from RNAcentral.
GGAUCUUCGGACCUGGCGCUAGUAGAUGAGCCCGCGUGAGAUUAGCUUGUUGGUGGGGUAAUGGCCUACCAAGGCAACGAUCUCUAGCUGGUCUGAGAGGACGAUCAGCCACACUGGGACUGAGACACGGCCCAGACUCCUACGGGAGGCAGCAGUGGGGAAUAUUGGACAAUGGGCGAAAGCCUGAUCCAGCAAUGCCGCGUGUGUGAAGAAGGCCUGAGGGUUGUAAAGCACUUUCAAUCGUGAAGAAAAGUUAGCAGGCUAAUACCCUGUGACCUUGACGUUAACGAUACAAGAAGCACCGGCUAACUCCGUG